Molecule: ribosomal RNA, 440 nt
Filed under: uncultured bacterium
Lineage: Bacteria
Description: partial 16S ribosomal RNA
Rfam family: Bacterial small subunit ribosomal RNA
Source: RNAcentral
CCUACGGGUGGCUGCAGUAGGGAAUAUUGCUCAAUGGGCGAAACCCUGAAGCAGCAACGCCGCGUGGAGGAUGAAGGUUUUCGGAUUGUAAACUCCUUUUGUUGGAGAAGAUAAUGACGUUAUCUAACGAAUAAGCACCGGCUAACUCCGUGCCAGCAGCCGCGGUAAUACGGAGGGUGCACGCGUUACUCGGAAUCACUGGGCGUAAAGAGCGCGGAGGCGGGAUAGCAAGUCAGAUGUGAAAUCCUAGGGCUUAACCAUAGAACUGCAUUUGAUACUGGUAUUCUAGAGUAUAGGAGAGGUAGGUAGAAUUCUUGGUGUAGGGGUAAAAUCCGUAGAGAUCAAGAGGAAUACUCAUGGCGAAGGCGACCUGCUAGAACAUAACUGACGCUGAGGCGCGAAAGCGUGGGGAGCAAACAGGAUUAGAUACCCUUGUAGUC